UGGGGAAUUGUUCGCAAUGGGCGCAAGCCUGACGACGCAACGCCGCGUGGAGGAUGAAGAUCUUCGGGUCGUAAACUCCUGUCGAGCGGGACGAAAGAUGCGCGGGUUAAUACCCCGUGCAAGUGACGGUACCGCUAAAGGAAGCCCCGGCUAACUCCAUGCCAGCAGCCGCGGUAAUACGGGGGGGGCAAGCGUUGUUCGGAAUUACUGGGCGUAAAGGGCUCGUAGGCGGCCAACUAAGUCACACGUGAAAUCCCUCGGCUCAACCGGGGAACUGCGUGUGAGACUGGAUGGCUUGAGUUUGGGAGAGGAAUGCGGAAUUCCAGGUGUAGCGGUGAAAUGCGUAGAUAUCUGGAGGAACACCGGUGGCGAAGGCGGCAUUCUGGACCAAUACUGACGCUGAGGAGCGAAAGCCAGGGGAGCAAACGGGAUUAGAUACCCCGGUAGUCCCUGGCCCUAAACGAUGAAUACUUGGUGUGGCGGGUAUCGAUCCCUGCCGUGCCGAAGCUAACGC
RNAcentral lists this ribosomal RNA (514 nucleotides) under uncultured Acidobacteriota bacterium. RNAcentral describes it as "bacterial SSU rRNA". It matches the Rfam family "Bacterial small subunit ribosomal RNA", at positions 355 to 858 of the family's 1533-position model. Lineage: Bacteria; Pseudomonadati; Acidobacteriota. The record is from RNAcentral.